CACGGGGAUUGCGAGCGUUGUCCGGAAUUACUAGGCGUAAAGGGCAGGCAGGCGGAUGCAUAAGUUUAUAGUUUAAGGCGUCGGCUUAACCGGCGUAGGGCGGUAGAUACUGUGGAUCUGGAAUGCGGUUGGGGAAGACAGAAUUCCUGGUGUAGCGGUGGAAUGCGCAGAGAUCAGGAGGAAUACCGAAGGCGAAGGCAGUCUUCCAAGCCGUUAUUGACGCUCAACUGCGAAGGUGUGGGUAUCAAACAGGAUUAGAUACCCCUGUAGU
RNAcentral lists this ribosomal RNA (271 nucleotides) under uncultured prokaryote. Its description in RNAcentral is "partial 16S ribosomal RNA". It matches the Rfam family "Bacterial small subunit ribosomal RNA", at positions 524 to 794 of the family's 1533-position model. The record is from RNAcentral.